UUGAUCCCCGUGUGGGUCCCUUUUUUUGUGUUGGUAAACAUCAUCUUUCGAUGUCGGUAAACGUCGAGUUUCUUCCCAUUCAUCGGUAGAUGUCUGGUCGUGGUUUCUUUUUUCCCAUUCAUCGGUAGAUGUCUGGCCGUGGUCUCUUUUUUCCCAUUCAUCGGUAGAUGUCUGGUCGUGGUUUCUUUCUUCCCAUUCAUCGGUAGAUGUCU
RNAcentral lists this long non-coding RNA (212 nucleotides) under Lathyrus oleraceus (garden pea). RNAcentral describes it as "Pisum sativum (pea) long non-coding RNA (PSAT_LNC005367)". Lineage: Eukaryota; Viridiplantae; Streptophyta; Magnoliopsida; Fabales; Fabaceae. The record is from RNAcentral.